This 2841-nucleotide ribosomal RNA is filed under the name metagenome. RNAcentral's name for it is "bacterial LSU rRNA". It matches the Rfam family "Bacterial large subunit ribosomal RNA". The record is from RNAcentral.
UCAAGCUAGAAAGAGCGCAAGGGGAAUGCCUUGGCAUCAGGAGCCGAAGAAGGACGUGACAAGCUGCGAUAAGCUGCGGUGAGCUGCACAUAAGCUUUGACCCGCAGAUUUCCGAAUGGGGAAACCCGGCAGAGCAAUACUCUGUCAGCGUGCGUUGAAUCAAAUAGGCGUACGCGGGGAACCGCCUGAACUGAAACAUCUAAGUAGGGCGAGGAAGAGAAAUCAACCGAGAUUCCGCUAGUAGUGGCGAGCGAACGCGGAAGAGGGCAAACCGGAGGAUUUAUCCUCCGGGGUUGUGGACAGUUUUUUAGCAACUGGAACUAGGAGAACGGUAUGGGAAGGCCGGCCAUAGCGGGUGAUAGCCCCGUAUCCGAAAGGGAAGGUUGUGCGACUGGAUCCAGAGUACCGCCGGACACGUGAAACCCGGUGGGAAGCUGGGGGGACCACCCUCCAACCCUAAAUACUACCUGAUGACCGAUAGAGGAGCAGUACCGUGAGGGAAAGGUGAAAAGGACCCCGGGAGGGGAGUGAAAGAGAACCUGAAACCUUGUGCUUACAAGCACUCAAAGCCCGUUAAAGGGUGAUGAGGUACCUUUUGUAGAAUGGUCCGGCGAGUUAUUGUUACUGGCAAGCUUAAGGCAUUCAGUGCCGGAGGCGCAGGGAGACCGAGUCUGAAUAGGGCGUAUGAAGUCAGUGGCAAUAGACCCGAAACCGGGUGACCUAUCCAUGGGCAGGUUGAAGUGGGGGUAAAACCCCAUGGAGGACCGAACGCACGCCCGUUGCAAUGGUCGGCGAUGACCUGUGGAUAGCGGUGAAAUUCCAAUCGAACCCGGAGAUAGCUGGUUCUCCCCGAAAUAGCUUUAGGGCUAGCGUUGGCUUAGAUUACCGGAGGUAAAGCACUGAAUGGGCUAGGGGCCGAUAAGGUUACUGAACCCUAUCAAACUCUGAAUGCCGGAUAAUUGAUGGCCAGCAGUCAGUCUACGUGAGAUAAGUCUCGUGGACAAAAGGGAAACAGCCCAGACCCACAGCUAAGGUCCCAAAGAUACGCUAAGUGGAAAACGAUGUGGAGUUGCGAAAACAACCAGGAUGUUGGCUUAGAAGCAGCCACUCAUUAAAAGAGUGCGUAAUAGCUCACUGGUCGAGUGACUCUGCGCGGAAAAUAUAACGGGGCUAAGCGUAACACCGAAGCUUGGGCUGCACAGCAAUGUGCGGGGUAGGGGAGCGUCGAAUAUGGGGUGAAGUCGCAGCGGAAGCAGCGGUGGACUGUAUUCGAGUGAGAAUGCCGGAAUGAGUAGCGAGAAUUAUGUGGGAAUCAUAAUGGCCGAAAAUCUAAGGUUUCCUGGGGAAGGUUCGUCCGCCCAGGGUAAGCCGGGAGCUAAGGCGAGGCCGAAAGGCGUAGUCGAUGCACAUACGGUUGAAAUUCCGUAGCCACCGAACCUUAAGUACACUGACACAUGGAGAUAGCGGGACCCGGGCGUUGGUUGACCCGGGCGUAAGGGACCGAACUUUAGUAGGGAAGUCCGCGAUGCUCUGUGGCGAGAAAAGGUGUAUGGUAUGCUAAGGUGCCCGUACCGCAAACCGACACAGGUAGAUGAGGAGAGAAUCCUAAGGCCAACGGGAGAAGGGUUGUUAAGGAACUCGGCAAAAUGACCCCGUAACUUCGGGAUAAGGGGAGCCUCCUACGGGAGGCCGCAGCGAAUAGGCCCAAGCGACUGUUUACCAAAAACACAGGUCUCUGCUAAAUCGAAAGAUGACGUAUAGGGGGUGACGCCUGCCCGGUGCUGGAAGGUUAAGGGGAGUGCUUAGCGCAAGCGAAGGUGCGAACUUAAGCCCCAGUAAACGGCGGCCGUAACUAUAACGGUCCUAAGGUAGCGAAAUUCCUUGUCAGGUAAGUUCUGACCCGCAUGAAAGGCGUAAUGAUUUGGGCACUGUCUCAACAGCCCGCCCGGCGAAAUUGUAGUACCGGUGAAGAUGCCGGUUACCCGCGACAAGACGGAAAGACCCCAUGGAGCUUUACUGUAGCCUAAUAUUGGGUUUCGAUGUUGCAUGCACAGGAUAGAUGGGACACUGGGAAACAAUCGCUUUGGCGGUUGCGGAGUGGCCGUUGGGAUACCAUCCUUGCGAUAUUGGAAUUCUAACCUGCGGCUCUGAAUCGAGUCGGGGGACAUUGUUAGGUGGGCAGUUUGACUGGGGCGGUCGCCUCCUAAAAAGUAACGGAGGCGUUCAAAGGUUCGCUCAGCUUGAACGGAAAUCAAGCAAAAGAGUGCAAACGCAGAAGCGAGCCUAACUGCGAGACUGACGGGUCGAGCAGUAACGAAAGUUGGAGUUAGUGAUCCGGUGGUAUGUGAGUGGAAAUGCCAUCGCUCAACGGAUAAAAGUUACCCUGGGGAUAACAGGCUGAUCUCCCCCAAGAGUCCACAUCGACGGGGAGGUUUGGCACCUCGAUGUCGGCUCAUCGCAUCCUGGGGCUGUAGUCGGUCCCAAGGGUUGGGCUGUUCGCCCAUUAAAGCGGCACGCGAGCUGGGUUCAGAACGUCGUGAGACAGUUCGGUCCCUAUCCGUCGCGGGCGUAGGAAAUUUGAGAGGAUCUGUCCUUAGUACGAGAGGACCGGGAUGGACAUACCGCUGGUGUACCAGUUGUUCCGCCAGGAGCAUCGCUGGGUAGCUAUGUAUGGAUGAGAUAAACGCUGAAAGCAUCUAAGCGUGAAACUCGCCUCAAGAUGAGAUUUCCCAUUCCUUAUGGAAGUAAGACCCCUCAGAGAUGAUGAGGUAGAUAGGAUGGAAGUGGAAGUGCCGCGAGGCAUGGAGCGGACCAUUACUAAUCGGUCGAGGACUUAACCAA